This 241-nucleotide long non-coding RNA is filed under the name Lathyrus oleraceus (garden pea). RNAcentral's name for it is "Pisum sativum (pea) long non-coding RNA (PSAT_LNC002823)". The record is from RNAcentral. Lineage: Eukaryota; Viridiplantae; Streptophyta; Magnoliopsida; Fabales; Fabaceae.
AAAAGUGCUUAUUUGAGCUAUCAUAUGUGGGCAUCUUUCACUCCAUUUCCUUGCUAAAAUGUCGAAACCACCUUUGUUUCAGAUGAAAUGCAAUACAAUGAUAAUCUAUCUUGGUACCUUUGAUUUGUGUGUUAUUAUGCAGGAAGUAGGCAUGAAAUAAUAGAAAAUGAAGACACAAGAAAUGUGGCAAAGGAAUCAAAUAAAACAAGCAUUCAUCAGCUUCCUCGCUAGGCGAGGGCUG